UGGGGAAUUUUGGACAAUGGGCGAAAGCCUGAUCCAGCAAUGCCGCGUGUGUGAAGAAGGCCUUCGGGUUGUAAAGCACUUUUGUCCGGAAAGAAAUCCUUGGCUCUAAUACAGUCGGGGGAUGACGGUACCGGAAGAAUAAGCACCGGCUAACUACGUGCCAGCAGCCGCGGUAAUACGUAGGGUGCAAGCGUUAAUCGGAAUUACUGGGCGUAAAGCGUGCGCAGGCGGUUUGCUAAGACCGAUGUGAAAUCCCCGGGCUCAACCUGGGAACUGCAUUGGUGACUGGCAGGCUAGAGUAUGGCAGAGGGGGGUAGAAUUCCACGUGUAGCAGUGAAAUGCGUAGAGAUGUGGAGGAAUACCGAUGGCGAAGGCAGCCCCCUGGGCCAAUACUGACGCUCAUGCACGAAAGCGUGGGGAGCAAACAGGAUUAGAUACCCUGGUAGUCCACGCCCUAAACGAUGUCAACUAGUUGUUGGGGAUUCAUUUCCUUAGUAACGUAGCUAACGCGUGAAGUUGACCGCCUGAGGAGUACGGUCGCAAGAUUAAAACUUAAAGGAAUUGACGGGGUCAUAGCUGUUUCCU
RNAcentral lists this ribosomal RNA (585 nucleotides) under uncultured bacterium. Its description in RNAcentral is "partial 16S ribosomal RNA". It matches the Rfam family "Bacterial small subunit ribosomal RNA", at positions 355 to 1375 of the family's 1533-position model. The record is from RNAcentral.